CCGGGAUAGCUCAGCUGGUAGAGCAGAGGAC
Molecule: transfer RNA, 31 nt
Filed under: Dicranostyles mildbraediana
Lineage: Eukaryota; Viridiplantae; Streptophyta; Magnoliopsida; Solanales; Convolvulaceae
Description: partial tRNA-Phe
Source: RNAcentral